RNAcentral lists this unclassified non-coding RNA (516 nucleotides) under Zea mays. RNAcentral's name for it is "misc RNA Zm00001eb204340". Lineage: Eukaryota; Viridiplantae; Streptophyta; Magnoliopsida; Poales; Poaceae. The record is from RNAcentral.
CUGCCCCCGUCGUCCUCUCCAUUUCCUUCUGUCUGCUUGCCCUCAAACCCUAGCCCGUACCGGCGUCCACCUUCGCGCACCCUCGCCUCACCAAACACCCACGGCGCAUUGGCGCUUCCACCUCUUAUCAUGCGGUACUCCAUUACUUCUCCGCCCGCGCCAUCAUUUCGGCCACACCUCAGUCUGUUGGUCGGUCGCAGAUCCCUUGCCCCGUCGAGCUUAAUAUGCAAUCCGUUGCUUGUGAAGAUUGUCGUGUUUUGGACAAUGCCAACCUUUGUUUCCGCUGUGCCUGCCAAGGAUGGUAGGUGUACUGAAACAGAUGAUGACAAACUUUCUGAAUUGCAUGAAAGUGAACCAGGAUAUGCUAAUUGGAUUUUCCAAAAGAUUGGAUCUUUUGAGUGGAAUAUCACAAAUUCUCUUACUACAAAAAAUAGGUCCCACUGGGACUCGAACCCAGCAGUGCUUGAGGAUUCAGUGAUCAGCAGAUCUGCAAGGACAAAAGGACCAAAGGAGUGA